GUUGGAAAGAUUUUUUGGUCUGGGAUGGGCUCGCGGCCUAUCAGCUUGUUGGUGAGGUAAUGGCUCACCAAGGCGUCGACGGGUAGCCGGCCUGAGAGGGUGACCGGCCACACUGGGACUGAGACACGGCCCAGACUCCUACGGGAGGCAGCAGUGGGGAAUAUUGCACAAUGGGCGAAAGCCUGAUGCAGCAACGCCGCGUGAGGGAUGACGGCCUUCGGGUUGUAAACCUCUUUUAGCAGGGAAGAAGCGAAAGUGACGGUACCUGCAGAAAAAGCGCCGGCUAACUACGUGCCAGCAGCCGCGGUAAUACGUAGGGCGCAAGCGUUAUCCGGAAUUAUUGGGCGUAAAGAGCUCGUAGGCGGUUUGUCGCGUCUGCUGUGAAAUCCCGAGGCUCAACCUCGGGCCUGCAGUGGGUACGGGCAGACUAGAGUGCGGUAGGGGAGAUUGGAAUUCCUGGUGUAGCGGUGGAAUGCGCAGAUAUCAGGAGGAACACCGAUGGCGAAGGCAGAUCUCUGGGCCGUAACUGACGCUGAGGAGCGAAAGGGUGGGGAGCAAACAGGCUUAGAUACCCUGGUAGUCCACCCCG
This 589-nucleotide ribosomal RNA is filed under the name Microbacterium sp. RNAcentral's name for it is "bacterial SSU rRNA". It matches the Rfam family "Bacterial small subunit ribosomal RNA", at positions 198 to 802 of the family's 1533-position model. Lineage: Bacteria; Bacillati; Actinomycetota; Actinomycetes; Micrococcales; Microbacteriaceae. The record is from RNAcentral.